UGGAGUUCUGCUGCAGCUCCCCUCGCUGUGCCCGGCUUUGUUACCCUUCUGCGGAGCGCGCGUCCUCACCGCCCCCUCCUCCCGGCGCCCGCGUAGACGAGCCCGUUACCGCCUCCCCCUCCGGCGUAGUGGAAACUCCCGCCCCGGGAGCGGGCAGCCGGGGAGCCGGCGCCGGAAAGUGCCGGGCCUUUCACAGAGAGCUGGAUUGGAAGUGGAACAGCUGGAACUUGGGACAGUCACAUGAAAUGCCAGUGCUACAGGUGGAGAAUUAGCUUGCCGUGCCUGCCCCAAGCAUGGCCCCAUUUUUAAAGAUUGGAAGGAAGCAAUUUAGAAUGGAACUUCAAACUUGAGAGGAUGAAGAAGACACUGAGUGAAAAGAAGCUGAAUCCUUGAAAGACCAGGUGGAUCACAGCCUUCACGCUGCCCCCCACC
Long non-coding RNA from Ochotona princeps (American pika), 432 nucleotides. RefSeq lists it as uncharacterized. Lineage: Eukaryota; Metazoa; Chordata; Mammalia; Lagomorpha; Ochotonidae. The transcript is spliced from 3 exons. The record is from RefSeq and is a predicted model, not a curated record.